AUUGAACGCUGGCGGCAUGCUUUACACAUGCAAGUCGAACGGUAACAGGUUAAGCUGACGAGUGGCGAACGGGUGAGUAAUGCAUCGGAACGUGCCCGAUCGUGGGGGAUAACGCAGCGAAAGCUGCGCUAAUACCGCAUACGAUCUGAGGAUGAAAGCGGGGGACCGUAAGGCCUCGCGCGAUCGGAGCGGCCGAUGUCAGAUUAGGUAGUUGGUGGGGUAAAGGCCCACCAAGCCGACGAUCUGUAGCUGGUCUGAGAGGACGACCAGCCACACUGGGACUGAGACACGGCCCAGACUCCUACGGGAGGCAGCAGUGGGGAAUUUUGGACAAUGGGCGAAAGCCUGAUCCAGCAAUGCCGCGUGCAGGAAGAAGGCCUUCGGGUUGUAAACUGCUUUUGUACAGAACGAAAAGGUUUCUACUAAUACUAGGAGCUCAUGACGGUACUGUAAGAAUAAGCACCGGCUAACUACGUGCCAGCAGCCGCGGUAA
RNAcentral lists this ribosomal RNA (493 nucleotides) under uncultured bacterium. RNAcentral's name for it is "partial 16S ribosomal RNA". It matches the Rfam family "Bacterial small subunit ribosomal RNA", at positions 30 to 523 of the family's 1533-position model. The record is from RNAcentral.